GAAGACUGUUUAUGGAGACCUGUCUUUUAGAUGCAGGAACACCACUGAGAGCUAUAUUUAUAUUUGUUGCUGAUGGGUAGUUGAGGCGGGGCUGUAGGAGGAAGGGAAGGAGACAAAGAGGCUAUUGGAAUAGGCAGGAAGAUGGAAGGGAAGUAGUUGAAGUAAUUUCCUCUAUCAAGCCCCACCAUGGGUAUGAAAAUUAAUAUCUGCCUAUAGAGAGGUAAAUUAGAGUCACCCAAUGUGGGGAAGGGGAAUGUCUCCAAUUAGGAGACUCUUAUAUGGUGUGCCAGCUUCCAGCUAGAUGCCCACUGCCUCUGGUAACUCUCUGAGUCUUUUCUCCACUCCCUUAUAUUUUUCAUGAAGACCUGGUAUGGAGAUAAGGGUAAGAUCCCCUUGAAGUAAUGUGAAAAAACUGUGAGAAGAGCGAAAAACCCUGCCAAUGGCAAGGAAGCUGCAAACUUGAAUCUUCUCAAACUAAAUAGACUCAGAGUUGCAUCUGGAAUUGUGUGUGUUUGGCAAACCUAAGGUGGAACCCCUCUGAAAAACAUCUGACUGGAAUCGCCUCUUUGUCAAAUGUGAAAAGAAGCUCCCACCCAAUUAUUAAGAGGCUGCAUGAGAGGAAAGGAAAAGUUUGUGCAGCUAACAUAACAUGAAGCUUGCCAAAAUCAUCCUGCCCUAAUUCUCUUGUUAACAGAGCUGCUUUUCCAAAGAGCAAGUAACUCGUGAUUGGGUUUCUUGAUUCUGCCUGCCACUCCUGCUGUACACCCCCACCCCACCCAGGACCCCCUGCCCAGAGCUUCCCUGGCUCUGCAUUUUCACUGGUGGGGUAUUCUUCAAGGCUUGAAACCCCAGAAAUCCCGUUGAGAGCACAAUGAUCUACACUCAGGAUGCAGUGUAGAACGGCCACAAAUGUCAUAUUGCUUAUCUUGGUCUAUGCAACACCCAGCAGCUGCUGGUGUUUAACGAGGAGGCUGCACAGGGCUCUGAGAAUUGUACUGUGUGUGCUUUGUUCAUGCAUUUUGCAGCUGAUUUAAGAGCAAGAAAGGAACAAAACCAACCCGAUGUCUUUACUCCAGAGAUCAUCCACAUCCUUCCUACGGCAGGAAGAGCAGGUGACUGGGACACUGGACAUUUGGCAAGCUGGUAGUUUUCCUGCAUUGGCAUGCUUUGCCGGGGUUUUCAUGAAAAGACAAUGACCUUUACAGAAAACAAUGACCUUUACAGAGAUCUCUAAACCUUGGCAACUCAGCAGCGAGCUCAGUUCUGAAAGCAUUCCUUUUGCCUUUCCCAACAGAGUUGAACAACUGGAAAGAAAGGAAGGAACUUAAAAAAAAAAAAUCACCGAAGUUUUUGGCAAACUUUAGGUGCUCUUUCCCCCACCCUGUAAUUAAGGCAUAAGUAAACAGUAAAAGAAUAUCAAAUUGCAGCUUGCUUCAGUAAUAGGUACCCAGGUGGAGCUGCUGCUUGUAUGGACCUGUGUCUUGAGACAGAAGGGCAGCCUCUCUGGGGAGGACUCCAAUGGGUCCCCAGAUCUGAUACAUCAAGAUUAAGACUUGAGGAUUCGGAGCUGAGUGAUAAGAAAGGAUUGUCUUCCCAUCUAUAAAGUGAAGAUUAUUAUUAUUAUUAUUAUCCACCCUCUGACGACACACUGUAUUGAAUAACGAUGAAAAAAUUGUUUAGCAAGAUAUACAUUAGUUUCUGAAGGAAGAAGACUUUCAAAUAUUCUCUAGCUACUACUUGAGUGGCCUAAAGGGAGAAUGUGGUACACAAGAGCAAGAAGAGACCUGAGUGCAUCUACUCACAACCUCUAUACCAGGGUCUUUUCUACUUACCCCCUCAUGACCUCUGGGACCUGUUUUGACUUGCUUCCCAUCCAAGGGGAGACAAAAAAGACUGAACAGAGUUGAAGGACAAAACCGAAAAGUACUUCCAGCAACUAUUCCUAGUUGUGAAGGGAUGAGUGGAUGGAAGAGAGAAUGUGUGUGAUGUGGAAAGGAGGGAAUCCAAGCAGGUGAAGUAGAAUCCCAGACUACAGGACAGCUCCUCUUGCUCCACCAUACCCUCUAACAUGAGGAAAGAAGAACUUUUCUUCAAGAACCUUCAUGGGUGCAAGCAAAGACAAGAGCCAGAGCAAAAGGCCUUCGACUGUUCAUCACCUGCAGCUUUAACUGCAAGCACUCCCAAACAGAGAACGUAAAUGGCUUACAUGUAUGAAUGAGUUAAGACAUGCAAAGUGCUUGGAACAACACUUCAACCGUAGCAAAUACUGUUGAUGCCUUACCUGUAUCUGUUGGGGCAAGGAGAGGAUGGAAAUGUUUUUCAUGAAGACAGGAAAUAUCUUUACUAUGCUUUGUGAACUAGAUGGAAUAAUCCUAAAAAGCAGGCCCAUUGGAGCAGGGAGAGAAGAUAUGUGGGCUGGAUUUUCAACUGAAUGAUUAAACAACAGUGCUCUCUCUGGCCAUAUCCUGCUAUUUUACACAAGGUGUUGGGGAGACUACCUGGCAAGAUAAAAUCAAUGUUGCCUUUUUAAAAAUGUGCUAUCAUUUCACUGUUAAAUUUAUGCAGGACCCAGUUCCAAGAGGCCAAAAAGAUAAUACAGGUAAUACUUAUUUUGCAGGAUUCCAAUAUGUGUGGAUUUCAGUCAUACAGUUUAGUUAGUGUAGUGAAACAAAAGCAGCUUCCUUCAACAACACAGUUAAAAUUUCAGUUAUCAUGGCAUGUGAACUGUGAGUAAGUACUGGCAUAGAGUAUGAGCUUUGCUGCUAACUUGUCAGUAUACAAAUCACUUCUUAAAUAUGUCAUCAUGAUUAGUUAUUUAUCAAUUAUGUCACUUCUUUCAAACACAAUUGGUGAUUGGUCACUGAUCAUCUAUUAUUCAGUUUACCCACCCACAGACAGCAAAUUACAUAGUUGUGUUGCCUCCUUGUCUUAGUGAUAACCCAUGUGAUAGUUUACAGGUAAUCAGUGGAAUGAACUGGCCAACAAAAAUGGAAGAGAAAAAAGAAAUGGAAAGUGAUAAUGUAGGAAGUAAAAUUCAAAUUGAAUGUAAAUAGGGUGUAGGAAAUAUAACUGAGCCUGCAAAGGUUGACUUCAGAGCCAUUUUAAAGAUUCGAGAUAAGCAACAAAAGGAACUUUGUGAACUUACCACUAUAAAUGAGGAAAAUUGCCAAAAAAUGAAGAUGUUCCAGAGGACCUGAUGCCAGAAAAAAAAAUUCACAUUAAAGGGACACAUAGAUAUUUCACAGCAUUGAAAAUAAAAAGCAUAAAAUGGUGAAGCUAACCCAAAUUUAGGAAGGAGACUGACAAUUUACCAAAGCAUGGAAAAGUCUCAGAGAGUUGAAGAAAUCAUGUGACCAGUUCUACUGAGAACCUAAGGGGCAGCAUCAGUUUCACCUAGGAACUAAGUAGAAACGCAAAUUCCCAGGACCCACCGCACACCUACUGAUUCAGACACUCUGGAGCUAAACCAAAAACAUACACAGAAUAGUCACAGCCAGUGUGUCUGGAGGCCUAAGAGAACUGCUCCCCACCCCCACCAUCUUCACUUGUAAUUUUAUUCUCUUGGGCAGAUCAGCUUUCCUCAGAGUCUUGAAUUCAUCAUUGGUAGAAGUAGAAAUGGAUGAACUGAGACAGGAGUCCCCUUGCUAAGGUAUAUUCAGGACCCAUGUUAUAGAAUCUGGAAGAGAAAGCUGUUUUGUAUAGACUGGGAAGAGUGGAGCUAGGAUGAUGGUUGCAGCAGAAGAUCCAGUAUUUUAGCCUCUUGAAAAAUCCCAAGAGAGGUAUCUAGAAAUCUUCCUUAAAUGCAGAGGACCCUUUGUUCUCAAGUCUGGAUUUUUUUGACCAGAGCCAGAUAAUCUCAAAAAGCAAAGAUUUACUGCCUGGAACUGAAAGUCACUGUUCAUUCAGCCAACAAAAUCUGGUCUCCAGCUAACGUUGAAGGCAACUGACUGAAAGGCCCUGUGAGAACAUGGUGAGAAGGCAGCCAUCUACAAGCCAGGAAGAAAGCCUUCACCAGAAACCAAACCCUGCUAGAACCUUGAUCUUGAACUUUCCAGCCUCUAGAACUGUGAGAGAUUAACCACCUUAGAAGAACUGUAGAGAUGCUGACAGUGUGAUGGUGAUACCAAAGCUGCAGAACAUUCUAGUGAUGAAGAGAAACUGGAGGAGAUUCCAAAUUGAAAAUCUGCAAUUCAUUGUUUUCAAAACAUAGUAUAACCAAAGGGGAAAGUACAUCUGGAUACAUUCUAGCCUUGGCAAUGCAAAGCCUACCACCAGGUGGAUAUGGUAAUCAGGCAGGAUGGAUGCAGAGGAUUUGAAUUACCAUACAAAGGAUUUGAGGCAGCAAGAACACUGGUUUUACAGAUUAAGAUCAUGACCUGGAAUGGUUGGCUUCUCCCUGCUUAUGGAAGUGACAGUUCUAGGGCCACUAGCUGAAUAUAGCUAUAAGCCAUUUAUUUCUGGGUCUCUGUCACAUCCCACACUGACCAGUUUUAACUGUAUUCAAAGAAUGAUUGUCACGGUCCUGACUAGA
Molecule: long non-coding RNA, 4531 nt
Organism: Canis lupus familiaris (dog)
Lineage: Eukaryota; Metazoa; Chordata; Mammalia; Carnivora; Canidae
Exons: 17
Source: RefSeq, a predicted model, not a curated record